UCUUCUUAAUUUGAAGUGCAACACUAUAAGAAAAUACUACCAAUAUCAAAAAGUUGCAUUUCUUCUUUGUAUCUAAUAACUAGGCAUUUCCAACUCUUAAGUCUUGUAAAUCCUUAUGUUUGUAACUGCCAAAAAAUUAUAUUCUCAUAUUUCUCGGCUCAAGGAAAAAGCACAAGCUAAACCAGUUCAACAUCACACUUGUUUCAUAACAACAAAUAGUCCUAGAGUACUCUAAAUAAAAUAUCAGAAGUCCUACAUAUUUUAACAAGAAUUUUGUAAACACUUCAUCCUUCAGUAUGUAGUAUAUCCAAUUGAAUUUGUUUUGAGAAAGAGUGAAUUAUUAUACAUACCUCAUGGUUAUUAAACUUGUUUGUUUUUACAUUGAUGCCCAUAACACAAUUGCCUAAAAAGACAAAAAAAAAAUUCUUGUUAAUUCUUUUACAAGAAUUUAUAACAGAUAACAAAAGAGAAAAGUACAAAGCAACAAAAGAAUUAAAAAAACUUGUAGACUUUUUAAACUUCUUAAAGAAUCUUCAUCCCAAUUUUGUAAUGUUGCUUUGUUGUUUCAGUCCAUGAACUAUGGCUCCUCCCAAAAUUACCACUUCAAAAUCUUCAAAUUUUCACUCACUAUAUAUAAAAAAUAGGACAGAAUAUUAAAUUGCUGAAUAAUUCGCAAAUUAAAACCAAAAAUUCAUGUCAAGUAGGUAUGAGAAAAUUAGCAAACCGUAAAAUAUAGAGAUACGAGCUUACCUCUUCUGCUCAAGAAUAGAAAAGCUAUGGGGUUCUCUCUCACUCUUCUUCUUUGUCGUUCUCGCAUUUUUUAGUCUAGCCAUGGUUGAAGAAAGAAUUGGAAAAGUGGGGAAGGAGAUGUGGGGGUGGGAUUGGCGGCGGAAAAGAAUAGAAUGUAGUUUAGGUUUUGGUGCUUUUGCUUUGGGCCAAUUGCAAUUAGUGUUUUUCGUUCCUUUACUUGUUAUUAUAUUCUUGUGUAUUGCUUUCUUUUAU
RNAcentral lists this long non-coding RNA (1002 nucleotides) under Nicotiana tabacum (common tobacco). RNAcentral describes it as "long non-coding RNA (NTAB_LNC005267)". Lineage: Eukaryota; Viridiplantae; Streptophyta; Magnoliopsida; Solanales; Solanaceae. The record is from RNAcentral.